This 87-nucleotide transfer RNA is filed under the name Rickettsiales bacterium. RNAcentral describes it as "tRNA-Leu". It matches the Rfam family "tRNA". From Rfam's summary of the family: Transfer RNA (tRNA) molecules are approximately 80 nucleotides in length. Their secondary structure includes four short double-helical elements and three loops (D, anti-codon, and T loops). Further hydrogen bonds mediate the characteristic L-shaped molecular structure. tRNAs have two regions of fundamental functional importance: the anti-codon, which is responsible for specific mRNA codon recognition, and the 3' end, to which the tRNAs corresponding amino acid is attached (by aminoacyl-tRNA synthetases). tRNAs cope with the degeneracy of the genetic code in two manners: having more than one tRNA (with a specific anti-codon) for a particular amino acid; and 'wobble' base-pairing, i.e. permitting non-standard base-pairing at the 3rd anti-codon position. Lineage: Bacteria; Pseudomonadati; Pseudomonadota; Alphaproteobacteria; Rickettsiales. The record is from RNAcentral.
GGGCGUGUGGUGGAAUUGGUAGACACACAGGACUUAAAAUCCUGAGAACGUAUGUUCGUGGGGGUUCAAGUCCCCCCGCGCCUACCA